Molecule: non-coding RNA, 23 nt
Filed under: Mus musculus (house mouse)
Lineage: Eukaryota; Metazoa; Chordata; Mammalia; Rodentia; Muridae
Source: RNAcentral
UGAGAGCUGCAGUGGUACCCAUG